Long non-coding RNA from Oncorhynchus kisutch (coho salmon), 2298 nucleotides. RefSeq lists it as uncharacterized. The record is from RefSeq and is a predicted model, not a curated record. The transcript is spliced from 3 exons. Lineage: Eukaryota; Metazoa; Chordata; Actinopteri; Salmoniformes; Salmonidae.
GUUGUGCUGGCUGUAGCCAUGUACAAACGUCAAAUACCAUGUACAAACGUCAAAUAACGGCUCAUUCCAUCACCUAUAUUUAGCAAACUACUGUAGCACAAUAGCCGCCAGUGCAAUGUCCCGAGUGGGAUUAUUGUUUUUAUCUAAUACAUUUGCAAACAUUUCUAAAAACCUGUUUUAAGCUUUGACAUAUGGCUGCUACUAAAGGGGUAGAUAGUUCAAUAGUAAUAUCCUCUAAAACGCUCCGGUGACAAACAAACUCUGCUGCCCUGUUUCCAAUCGUCCACAUGGCUGGGAGAACCUAUUCAAGUAAGUAAGUAAGUAAAUACAUUUCGAAAAUAACUAUGCAUUAUUAGCUAAUUUGCUACAGUGCAGGCUAACUCAAAUGAGCUAGCUAGUCGGUUAGCUACCUAGCCAUCUUCACAUACUGUAUAGAUAGCUAGCUAAGUGAAUGAAAUAUCACCAUCUACCUAACGUCAUAUUAGCUAGCUAUCUUGAUGUAUUUAUCGCUGUAAAAAAAAAUAUCAAAAUGCAUUCGUAGGUAGCUAGCUAACAGCCAUGGAGGACGGUGAAAGGAUAGCAGCCCCAACUAUCAGUGAAAGUAACGUUAGGCUAUUCUGAAUAGGACAUGUACUUUUGUGUAGUUCCUGUCCCUAGAAGUGAGGAUUGAUAUAAUAGCAACAUAAUAUUCAGUGUGGUGUAAUUUGACUACAAUGAAGUUUGUUUCUUGUGAGGUUUUCUGUCCUCAGAUAAAGAGAGCUAUGAAAGCCUGUCUACAUAUGACGAGGUCCCAAAUGAAGAGCAGUGAUUCUCAGUCCUGGGGGACUCAAAGCGGUGCACAUUUUUGUUUUUGCCUUAGAACUGCACUGCUGAUUCAAAUGCUCAACUCAUCAUCAAGCUUCAAAUGAUACCUUGUAACUGGAGAUUCCUUCAAAACGAUUGCCUACAGUUAAUGUGUAGGGCACAGCAAGGUUGGGUGACUAGGGCCACCUGGGACUGCCUGCUGGAGGAAUUCAGGUGUGUGAAGGAGCAAUUCAGGUGUGUGAAGGCUACCUGUGUCCUGCAUAAUUUCAUGAGAAUAGACACAAGGACCAGGAGGGGAUCUGCAGCUCCCCGCCAUGUGCCAGAGGAAAAGUCUGCUGCUCUGCAGGAUGUUUUAAGGAUGGGGUCCAACAAUGCAGCAAGAGAGGCAAUCUGUGUGCGGGAGAUCUUCACCUCCUACUUCUUUCGAAGAGGGUGCUGUUCCCUGGCAACACCAUAGACUACACUAUGCACAACCAAAGGCUCUUUUAAGAGCCAUUCACAUUGCAAUAAGAGUAUUCUUCCAUUUACUUAGCUAUGUCAACUGCAGUUAUUCAAUUCCCAGUUUCUACUUCUCAGGUGAGGGUGCUGUUUAGGUAAGGGUGUGAUGUUUGUACAAAAACCAAACAGGCUAUUUUAAAUCACCCAUAUUGAAAAAAUGUAGAACAAUUAGACACCCUAUAACCCACACCUACACACUCAUGUAUCAAUCUGAUUGAUGGAUUGUGUUGUGCAGUAAGCAGGCUCAGGUGUAUAACUGUGGUUCCUUCCACCUUCAAAGAAUAGGCAAGAGUGCCAACUAUGGAGAAUAAUAUAAGACACUUAAUGAUUUAUAUAACUACGCUAAUAUUGUUUGUUCUUGUGUUUCCGUUCAUGCGUUUCAGCAUAAAGUACUCUGCAGCCACUUAGUGUGGUGUAGACACCAGGUUAUAUCAGCUGUGUCGGUGAACCCCUCCCGCAUCUGAACUGGCUACAUAGAAGGCACUUGGUCAGGUCAACAAGAAGUAUUAUUAAAGAGAUGUUUUACAUUGAAAUACAGAUAGAGAUGUAGUUGUCCCAGAGUUAAUGAUCCAAGGUCAGUUUAGCAUUUAACCUGAUGAUUAUGAUGACUAACAAUGUUAGUAUAAAAAAUAAAAACAAGGCUUAAACAUGCUAUCUCAUCUGCAGAUAUGUUUUGAUGUGAGAGAGGAUGCCAACUCCCAGUCCCAUCAUCGCCACCUCAUCCAUUCUUAAUAUAACUUUCGGGCCGACUAGAGACACUUAUGCAAUUGUGAUGAACUGAGAGAAUAUUUGGGUAGCAAUGAUUCAUUAAUCUUACCUCUUUCCCUUUGUCUUUUACACCUCGCACCACCUCUUUCUUCCUCUGUUUUAUAAUGUACAACAGAUGUACAUUGAAGUACAGAUUGAACUUGCAUUUAUAAUAUUACAAAUAUAUUUAUGCAUGUAUUUAUAACACUUGGAUAAUGAACUUCUUUCAAUAAAGUGUCACAUUCUCUA